Molecule: transfer RNA, 73 nt
Filed under: Loxodonta africana (African savanna elephant)
Lineage: Eukaryota; Metazoa; Chordata; Mammalia; Proboscidea; Elephantidae
Rfam family: tRNA
About the family: Transfer RNA (tRNA) molecules are approximately 80 nucleotides in length. Their secondary structure includes four short double-helical elements and three loops (D, anti-codon, and T loops).
Source: Rfam by way of RNAcentral
CCCUAGAUAGUGUAAAUGGUUAACACAUUUGGCUGCUAACCGAAAGGUUGGAGAUUCGAGCUCACCCAGGGGU